CAGAGCCGCGGGAAUACAGAGGGUGCGAGCGUUAAUCGGAUUUACUGGGCGUAAAGCGUGCGUAGGCGGCUUCUUAAGUCGGAUGUGAAAUCCCUGAGCUUAACUUAGGAAUUGCAUUCGAUACUGGGAAGCUAGAGUAUGGGAGAGGAUGGUAGAAUUCCAGGUGUAGCGGUGAAAUGCGUAGAGAUCUGGAGGAAUACCGAUGGCGAAGGCAGCCAUCUGGCCUAAUACUGACGCUGAGGUACGAAAGCAUGGGGAGCAAACAGGAUUAGAUACCCCCGUAGUCCCUGUCUCUUAUACA
RNAcentral lists this ribosomal RNA (301 nucleotides) under uncultured bacterium. RNAcentral's name for it is "partial 16S ribosomal RNA". It matches the Rfam family "Bacterial small subunit ribosomal RNA", at positions 509 to 808 of the family's 1533-position model. The record is from RNAcentral.